RNAcentral lists this ribosomal RNA (253 nucleotides) under uncultured bacterium. RNAcentral's name for it is "partial 16S ribosomal RNA". It matches the Rfam family "Bacterial small subunit ribosomal RNA", at positions 524 to 776 of the family's 1533-position model. The record is from RNAcentral.
GACGUAGGGGGCGAGCGUUGUCCGGAUUUAUUGGGCGUAAGGAGCGCGUAGGCGGCCCGGAAAGUCGGAUGUGAAAACCCGGGGCUCAACCCCGGGCCUGCAUCCGAUACUCCCGGGCUGGAGGCAGGUAGGGGAGAUCGGAAUUCCUGGUGUAGCGGUGAAAUGCGUAGAGAUUGGGAAGAACACCGGUGGCGAAAGCGCUCUGCUGGGCCGCAACUGACACUAAUGGACGAAAGCUAGGGGAGCGAAUGGG